UCAGGAGAAGGAACUCGGCAAAUUGAUACCGUAACUUCGGGAGAAGGUAUGCCUCGGUAGCUUGUAGGAGCACAUCCGAAGGGCGACGAGGCCGCAGAGAAUCGGUGGCUGCGACUGUUUAUUAAAAACACAGCACUCUGCAAACACGAAAGUGGACGUAUAGGGUGUGACGCCUGCCCGGUGCCGGAAGGUUAAGUGAUGGGGUGCAAGCUCUUGAUCGAAGCCCCGGUAAACGGCGGCCGUAACUAUAACGGUCCUAAGGUAGCGAAAUUCCUUGUCGGGUAAGUUCCGACCUGCACGAAUGGCGUAACGAUGGCCACACUGUCUCCUCCUGAGACUCAGCGAAGUUGAAAUGUUUGUGAAGAUGCAAUCUCCCCGCGGCUAGACGGAAAGACCCCAUGAACCUUUACUGUAGCUUUGCAUUGGACUUUGACGGGACUUGUGUAGGAUAGGUGGGAGGCUUUGAAACCGGGACGCCAGUUCCGGUGGAGCCAACCUUGAAAUACCACCCUGGUGUCGUCGAGGUUCUAACCCAGGCCUGUGAAUCCAGGUCGGGGACCGUGCAUGGUGGGCAGUUUGACUGGGGCGGUCUCCUCCCAAAAGGUAACGGAGGAGUACGAAGGUCACCUAGGUACGGUCGGACAUCGUACUGAUAGUGCAAUGGCAAAAGGUGGCUUGACUGCGAGACCCACAAGUCGAGCAGGUGCGAAAGCAGGUCAUAGUGAUCCGGUGGUUCUGUAUGGAAGGGCCAUCGCUCAACGGAUAAAAGGUACUCUGGGGAUAACAGGCUGAUUCCGCCCAAGAGUUCACAUCGACGGCGGAGUUUGGCACCUCGAUGUCGGCUCAUCACAUCCUGGGGCUGUAGCCGGUCCCAAGGGUAUGGCUGUUCGCCAUUUAAAGUGGUACGUGAGCUGGGUUUAAAACGUCGUGAGACAGUUUGGUCCCUAUCUGCCGUGGGCGCUGGAAGUUUGAGAGGGCCUGCUCCUAGUACGAGAGGACCGGAGUGGACGCACCCCUGGUGUACCGGUUGUGACGCCAGUCGCAUCGCCGGGUAGCUAUGUGCGGAAGAGAUAACCGCUGAAAGCAUCUAAGCGGGAAACUCGCCUCAAGAUGAGACUUCCCCGGGGCCUCGAGCCCCCUGAAGGGUCGUUGAAGACCACAACGUUGAUAGGCCGGGUGUGUAAGCGUGGCAACACGUUCAGCUAACCGGUACUAAUUGCCCGUGUGGCUUGAUCCU
This 1237-nucleotide ribosomal RNA is filed under the name wastewater metagenome. Its description in RNAcentral is "bacterial LSU rRNA". It matches the Rfam family "Bacterial large subunit ribosomal RNA", at positions 1700 to 2925 of the family's 2925-position model. The record is from RNAcentral.